CCUACGGGUGGCAGCAGUGAGGAAUAUUGGUCAAUGGACGAGAGUCUGAACCAGCCAAGUAGCGUGAAGGAUGACUGCCCUAUGGGUUGUAAACUUCUUUUAUAUGGGAAUAAAAUGUUGCACGUGUGGCAUUUUGUAUGUACCAUAUGAAUAAGGAUCGGCUUACUCCGUGCCAGCAGCCGCGGUAAUACGGAGGAUCCGAGCGUUAUCCGGAUUUAUUGGGUUUAAAGGGAGCGUAGGUGGGUUGUUAAGUCAGUUGUGAAAGUUUGCGGCUCAACCGUAAAAUUGCAGUUGAAACUGGCAGUCUUGAGUACAGUUGAGGUGGGCGGAAUUCGUGGUGUAGCGGUGAAAUGCUUAGAUAUCACGAAGAACUCCGAUUGCGAAGGCAGCUCACUGGACUGCAACUGACACUGAGGCUCGAAAGUGUGGGUAUCAAACAGGAUUAGAUACCCUUGUAGUC
RNAcentral lists this ribosomal RNA (460 nucleotides) under uncultured bacterium. Its description in RNAcentral is "partial 16S ribosomal RNA". It matches the Rfam family "Bacterial small subunit ribosomal RNA", at positions 338 to 795 of the family's 1533-position model. The record is from RNAcentral.